CAGCACCUCAAGUGGUCAGGAUGAUUAUUGGGCCUAAAGCAUCCGUAGCCGGCGCUGUAAGUUUUCGGUUAAAUCUGUACGCUCAACGUACAGGCUGCCGCGAAUACUGCAGCGCUAGGGAGUGGGAGAGGUAGACGGUACUCGGUAGGAAGGGGUAAAAUCCUUUGAUCUAUUGAUGACCACCUGUGGCGAAGGCGGUCUACCAGAACACGUCCGACGGUGAGGGAUGAAAGCUGGGGGAGCAAACCGGAUUAGAUACCCGAGUAGUCC
RNAcentral lists this ribosomal RNA (270 nucleotides) under uncultured archaeon. Its description in RNAcentral is "partial 16S ribosomal RNA". It matches the Rfam family "Archaeal small subunit ribosomal RNA", at positions 477 to 747 of the family's 1478-position model. The record is from RNAcentral.